AGGGCACCACCAGGAGUGGAGCCUGCGGCUUAAUUUGACUCAACACGGGAAAACUCACCCGGCCCGGACACCGUAAGGAUUGACAGACUGAGAGCUCUUUCUUAAUUCGGUGGGUGGUGGUGCAUGGCCGUUCUUAGUUGGUGGAGCGAUUUGUCUGGUUAAUUCCGAUAACGAACGAGACUCUGGCCUAUUAAAUAGACGGUAUAUCUAGAAAAAGUAUACCGCGCUUCUUAGAGGGACAACCGGCGUCUAGCCGCGUGAAAUAGAGCAAUAACAGGUCUGUGAUGCCCUUAGAUGUCCGGGGCUGCACGCGCGCUACACUGAAAGAAUCAGUAUGCGCCGUCGCCUAGUUCGGAAGAACCGGGUAACCCGAGCAAAUUCUUUCGUGCUUGGGAUAGGGAAUUGCAAUUAUUUCCCUUAAACGAGGAAUUCCCAGUAAACGCGGGUCAUAAGCUCGCGUUGAUUACGUCCCUGCCCUUUGUACACACCGCCCGUCGCUACUACCGAUUGGAUGACUUA
RNAcentral lists this ribosomal RNA (519 nucleotides) under uncultured eukaryote. Its description in RNAcentral is "SSU rRNA". It matches the Rfam family "Eukaryotic small subunit ribosomal RNA", at positions 1161 to 1700 of the family's 1831-position model. The record is from RNAcentral.